AAACUCGCCUACAUGAAGCUGGAAUUGCUAGUAAUCACAGGUCAGCAUACUGUGGUGAAUACGUUCCCGGGCCUUGUACACACCGCCCGUCACACCAUGAGAGUUGAGAAUACCCGAAGUCCAUGUUAAAGUGGCCGAAGGUAGGCUUGAUGAUUGGGGUGAAGUCGUAACAAGGUACC
Molecule: ribosomal RNA, 179 nt
Filed under: uncultured bacterium
Lineage: Bacteria
Description: partial 16S ribosomal RNA
Rfam family: Bacterial small subunit ribosomal RNA
Source: RNAcentral